Molecule: ribosomal RNA, 422 nt
Filed under: uncultured bacterium
Lineage: Bacteria
Description: partial 16S ribosomal RNA
Rfam family: Bacterial small subunit ribosomal RNA
Source: RNAcentral
GAAUAUUGGACAAUGGGGGCAACCCUGAUCCAGCCACGCCGCGUGUGUGAAGAAGGUCUUCGGAUUGUAAAGCACUUUAAGUUGGGAGGAAGGGCUUUAGGUUAAUACCCUGAAGUUUUGACGUUACCAACAGAAUAAGCACCGGCUAACUCUGUGCCAGCAGCCUCGGUAAUACAGGGGGUGCAAGAGUUAAGCGGAAGUACGGGGCGGAAAGCGCGGGUGGGUGGUUCAGUAAGAUGGGGGUGAAAACCCCGGGCUUAACCUGGGAACUGCUUUCAUAACUGCUGGGCUAGAGUACGGUAGAGGGUAGUGGAAUUUCCUGUGUAGCGGUGAAAUGCGUAGAUAUAGGAAGGAACACCAGUGGCGAAGGCGACUACCUGGACUGAUACUGACACUGGGGUGCGAAAGCGUGGGGAGCAAAC